GACGAACGCUGGCGGCGUGCCUAAUACAUGCAAGUCGAACGAACUCUGGUAAUGAUUGGUGCUUGCAUCAUGAAUUACAUUUGAGUGAGUGGCGAACUGGUGAGUAACACGUGGGAAACCUGCCCAGAAGCGGGGGAUAACACCUGGAAACAGAUGCUAAUACCGCAUAACAACUUGGACCGCAUGGUCCGAGUUUGAAAGAUGGCUUCGGCUAUCACUUUUGGAUGGUCCCGCGGCGUAUUAGCUAGAUGGUGAGGUAACGGCUCACCAUGGCAAUGAUACGUAGCCGACCUGAGAGGGUAAUCGGCCACAUUGGGACUGAGACACGGCCCAAACUCCUACGGGAGGCAGCAGUAGGGAAUCUUCCACAAUGGACGAAAGUCUGAUGGAGCAACGCCGCGUGAGUGAAGAAGGGUUUCGGCUCGUAAAACUCUGUUGUUAAAGAAGAACAUAUCUGAGAGUCACUGUUCAGGUAUUGACGGUAUUUAACCAGAAAGCCACGGCUAACUACGUGCCAGCAGCCGCAGUAA
RNAcentral lists this ribosomal RNA (530 nucleotides) under uncultured bacterium. RNAcentral describes it as "partial 16S ribosomal RNA". It matches the Rfam family "Bacterial small subunit ribosomal RNA", at positions 28 to 523 of the family's 1533-position model. The record is from RNAcentral.